RNAcentral lists this ribosomal RNA (1445 nucleotides) under uncultured organism. Its description in RNAcentral is "16S ribosomal RNA". It matches the Rfam family "Bacterial small subunit ribosomal RNA". The record is from RNAcentral.
ACGCUGGCGGCGUGCUUAACACAUGCAAGUCGAACGGAAAGGCCCUGCUUUUGUGGGGUGCUCGAGUGGCGAACGGGUGAGUAACACGUGAGUAACCUGCCCUUGACUUUGGGAUAACUUCAGGAAACUGGGGCUAAUACCGGAUAGGAGCUCCUGCUGCAUGGUGGGGGUUGGAAAGUUUCGGCGGUUGGGGAUGGACUCGCGGCUUAUCAGCUUGUUGGUGGGGUAGUGGCUUACCAAGGCUUUGACGGGUAGCCGGCCUGAGAGGGUGACCGGCCACAUUGGGACUGAGAUACGGCCCAGACUCCUACGGGAGGCAGCAGUGGGGAAUAUUGCACAAUGGGCGGAAGCCUGAUGCAGCAACGCCGCGUGCGGGAUGACGGCCUUCGGGUUGUAAACCGCUUUCGCCUGUGACGAAGCGUGAGUGACGGUAAUGGGUAAAGAAGCACCGGCUAACUACGUGCCAGCAGCCGCGGUGAUACGUAGGGUGCGAGCGUUGUCCGGAUUUAUUGGGCGUAAAGGGCUCGUAGGUGGUUGAUCGCGUCGGAAGUGUAAUCUUGGGGCUUAACCCUGAGCGUGCUUUCGAUACGGGUUGACUUGAGGAAGGUAGGGGAGAAUGGAAUUCCUGGUGGAGCGGUGGAAUGCGCAGAUAUCAGGAGGAACACCAGUGGCGAAGGCGGUUCUCUGGGCCUUUCCUGACGCUGAGGAGCGAAAGCGUGGGGAGCGAACAGGCUUAGAUACCCUGGUAGUCCACGCUGUAAACGGUGGGUACUAGGUGUGGGGUCCAUUCCACGGGUUCCGUGCCGUAGCUAACGCUUUAAGUACCCCGCCUGGGGAGUACGGCCGCAAGGCUAAAACUCAAAGGAAUUGACGGGGCCCCGCACAAGCGGCGGAGCAUGCGGAUUAAUUCGAUGCAACGCGUAGAACCUUACCUGGGUUUGACAUGGAUCGGGAGUGCUCAGAGAUGGGUGUGCCUCUUUUGGGGUCGGUUCACAGGUGGUGCAUGGCUGUCGUCAGCUCGUGUCGUGAGAUGUUGGGUUAAGUCCCGCAACGAGCGCAACCCUUGUUCACUGUUGCCAGCACGUUAUGGUGGGGACUCAGUGGAGACCGCCGGGGUCAACUCGGAGGAAGGUGGGGAUGACGUCAAGUCAUCAUGCCCCUUAUGUCCAGGGCUUCACGCAUGCUACAAUGGCUGGUACAGAGAGUGGCGAGCCUGUGAGGGUGAGCGAAUCUCGGAAAGCCGGUCUCAGUUCGGAUUGGGGUCUGCAACUCGACCUCAUGAAGUCGGAGUCGCUAGUAAUCGCAGAUCAGCAACGCUGCGGUGAAUACGUUCCCGGGGCUUGUACACACCGCCCGUCAAGUCAUGAAAGUUGGUAACACCCGAAGCCGGUGGCCUAACCGUUGUGGGGGAGCCGUCGAAGGUGGGACUGGUGAUUAGGACUAAG